GAGAGCCGGAUGCGGUGAGAGCCGCACGUCCGGUUCGGCGGGCGGGCACGGGAAACGGACCCGGGGCAACCCGGGC
RNAcentral lists this non-coding RNA (76 nucleotides) under Pseudonocardia kunmingensis. The record is from RNAcentral. Lineage: Bacteria; Bacillati; Actinomycetota; Actinomycetes; Pseudonocardiales; Pseudonocardiaceae.